Molecule: ribosomal RNA, 253 nt
Filed under: uncultured bacterium
Lineage: Bacteria
Description: partial 16S ribosomal RNA
Rfam family: Bacterial small subunit ribosomal RNA
Source: RNAcentral
UACGGAGGGGGCUAGCGUUGUUCGGACUUACUGGGCGUAAAGGGCGCGUAGGCGGGCGAUCAAGUCAGGGGUGAAAGGCCUGGGCUCAACCUGGGAAUUGCCUUUGAAACUGAUUGUCUAGAGUCCGGAAGAGGAUGGCGGAAUUCCCAGUGUAGAGGUGAAAUUCGUAGAGAUUGGGAAGAACACCAGUGGCGAAGGCGGCCAUCUGGUCCGGUACUGACGCUGAGGCGCGAAAGCGUGGGGAGCAAACAGG